UCUUACUUUAAUUUCUAUGUCGCUUCAGAUCUUCGAAGAGUUUGCUCGAAUCACCAGUGUCGACCCUCAACAAAAGCUCUAUGAAAUAGUGGACCAGUACUGUGAUUCCGUUGUGCAACUCUCAGUCGGCAACAGGGCUCCACCGUUAGUUGGUCAGCAUAGUUGUUCUGCAUGCUGCAAAUUUCUGCUCCGGUGAUGCCAAGAGAGAAGACAGCGGUGGGAUUCUUGGUGCCGAUCGAUAGUGUCUUGCACCUGCCACGUGAUGCCACAGCCAACUGGAGUUACUGGCUCUCACACAAACCCUAAAGCACCGAAAGAUUCCACAUGAAACCCAGCUGAAACAUGGAACAAAAAACAGUACAAGAAAGAAGACGUUUCCUCCUUGCACAGGACGAUGAGGCAGGCUUGCCAUUGGCUGUGCUGACGCAAUGUGGGCCGUCCUUGGCCCGCGUCUCUUUCUCGUAUACAUUCACGACUUCCAAAUGAUCUCACAUCAUCUUUGCAGGAAUGGGCUCCGUGGCGACAGUCUCCCCCAAGCCGAGUGUGGCGUGUGGUGAUGUCACGUGGCCGAGCACUUCACGUUGUUGAACUGGAUGACCUUUUGUGGACGGACGCAGACUUCAUUGUGCACGAGGAGUGCAGCGACGACACCAUUAUCGAUGGUGUGUGCGCAAAGGAAAUGAGGAGAGUGGUGAUGAGAAUGGUGAAAACAAAGCACAAGAAAGGCAAGCAAGCUCGCGUGACGUGAUCGACGCUUUCGACGUUAUCCAGACUUUCCUUGACGUCCACGACAACAAAGCUACAGAUAGCUUAUCCGGCUGCCAUGUCCGUAUUGUGCAGGCGAAGUGGAGGAAAAUAAGCGACUAUUUUCAUUAAUUUUGUUCUGGAAAGUAAUGGGCGUGCUUAUUUUGUUCAUUUUUGUCCACUUAUUUUUGCUGCAAUGCAUGCUAUUCUAACUGUUGGAUAUGUUUUUCCUUUUUUCUCUAACAGCUAUGUAACUGAUGCCAUUAUUUGUGUUUAAGAUCUCACCUGUCUAGCUUUCUUCGUAGCUCUGCCGAGCCUUUUAAAGGAAACCCACACUUCAUUCAUAAAAUCAAAUGUAA
Molecule: long non-coding RNA, 1103 nt
Organism: Ornithodoros turicata
Lineage: Eukaryota; Metazoa; Arthropoda; Arachnida; Ixodida; Argasidae
Exons: 4
Source: RefSeq, a predicted model, not a curated record